This 71-nucleotide transfer RNA is filed under the name Scoliosorus ensiformis. Its description in RNAcentral is "tRNA-Gly". It matches the Rfam family "tRNA". From Rfam's summary of the family: Transfer RNA (tRNA) molecules are approximately 80 nucleotides in length. The record is from RNAcentral. Lineage: Eukaryota; Viridiplantae; Streptophyta; Polypodiopsida; Polypodiales; Pteridaceae. RNAcentral also lists the same sequence under 2 other names.
GCGGAUAUGGUUGAGUGGUAAAAUACCUCUUUGCCAAGGAGGUGACGCGGGUUCGAUUCCCGCUAUCCGCC